RNAcentral lists this ribosomal RNA (497 nucleotides) under uncultured bacterium. RNAcentral describes it as "partial 16S ribosomal RNA". It matches the Rfam family "Bacterial small subunit ribosomal RNA", at positions 28 to 507 of the family's 1533-position model. The record is from RNAcentral.
GAUGAACGCUGGCGGCGUGCCUAAUACAUGCAAGUCGAGCGAACAGAUAAGGAGCUUGCUCCUUUGACGUUAGCGGCGGACGGGUGAGUAACACGUGGGUAACCUACCUAUAAGACUGGGAUAACUUCGGGAAACCGGAGCUAAUACCGGAUAAUAUUUCGAACCGCAUGGUUCGAUAGUGAAAGAUGGUUUUGCUAUCACUUAUAGAUGGACCCGCGCCGUAUUAGCUAGUUGGUAAGGUAACGGCUUACCAAGGCGACGAUACGUAGCCGACCUGAGAGGGUGAUCGGCCACACUGGAACUGAGACACGGUCCAGACUCCUACGGGAGGCAGCAGUAGGGAAUCUUCCGCAAUGGGCGAAAGCCUGACGGAGCAACGCCGCGUGAGUGAUGAAGGUCUUCGGAUCGUAAAACUCUGUUAUUAGGUAAGAACAUACGUGUAAGUAACUGUGCACGUCUUGACGGUACCUAAUCAGAAAGCCACGGCUAACUACGUG